UACGAGGGGUGCAAGCGUUGUUCGGAAUCACUGGGCGUAAAGCGUGUCUAGGCGGGUCGGUAAGUUUGUUGUGAAAGCCCUUGGCUCAACCAAGGAAUUGCAAUGGAUACUGCCGGUCUUGAGUGAUGGAGAGAUGGGCGGAAUUCCGGGUGUAGCAGUGAAAUGCGUAGAUAUCCGGAGGAACACCAGAGGCGAAGGCGGCUCAUUGGCCAUCAACUGACGCUGAAGCACGAAAGCGUGGGUAGCAAACAGGAUUAGAUA
RNAcentral lists this ribosomal RNA (261 nucleotides) under uncultured bacterium. RNAcentral describes it as "partial 16S ribosomal RNA". It matches the Rfam family "Bacterial small subunit ribosomal RNA", at positions 524 to 784 of the family's 1533-position model. The record is from RNAcentral.